This 527-nucleotide ribosomal RNA is filed under the name uncultured Entrophosporaceae. Its description in RNAcentral is "SSU rRNA". It matches the Rfam family "Eukaryotic small subunit ribosomal RNA", at positions 569 to 1092 of the family's 1831-position model. The record is from RNAcentral. Lineage: Eukaryota; Fungi; Glomeromycota; Glomeromycetes; Entrophosporales; Entrophosporaceae.
AGCAGCCGCGGUAAUUCCAGCUCCAAUAGCGUAUAUUAAAGUUGUUGCAGUUAAAAAGCUCGUAGUUGAAUUUCGGGAUUGACACAUCGGUCGUGCCUUAAGGGGUAUGAACUGGUGUAGUCAAUUUCUCACCUUCUGGAGAACCGCGAUGCCCUUAAUUGGGUGUCACGGGGAACCAGGACCUUUACUUUGAAAAAAUUAGAGUGUUUAAAGCAGGCAUUUUGCUUGAAUACAUUAGCAUGGAAUAAUAAAAUAGGACGGCAUGAUUCUAUUUUGUUGGUUUUAGGAUCACCGUAAUGAUUAAUAGGGAUAGUUGGGGGCAUUAGUAUUCAAUUGUCAGAGGUGAAAUUCUUGGAUUUAUUGAAGACUAACUACUGCGAAAGCAUUUGCCAAGGAUGUUUUCAUUAAUCAAGAACGAAAGUUAGGGGAUCGAAGACGAUCAGAUACCGUCGUAGUCUUAACCAUAAACUAUGCCGACUAGGAAUCAGACGAUGUUAAUUUUUUAAUGACUCGUUUGGCACCUUACG